GUGUUGAUCCUGGCUCAGAUUGAACGCUGGCGGCAGGCCUAACACAUGCAAGUCGAACGGUAACAGGAAGCAGCUUGCUGCUUUGCUGACGAGUGGCGGACGGGUGAGUAAUGUCUGGGAAACUGCCUGAUGGAGGGGGAUAACUACUGGAAACGGUGGCUAAUACCGCAUAACGUCGCAAGACCAAAGAGGGGGACCUUCGGGCCUCUUGCCAUCAGAUGUGCCCAGAUGGGAUUAGCUUGUUGGUGAGGUAACGGCUCACCAAGGCGACGAUCCCUAGCUGGUCUGAGAGCCACGACCAGCCACACUGGAACUGAGACACGGUCCAGACUCCUACGGGAGGCAGCAGUGGGGAAUAUUGCACAAUGGCGCAAGCCUGAUGCAGCCAUGCCGCGUGUAUGAAGAAGGCCUUCGGGUUGUAAAGUACUUCAGCGGGAGGAAGGUGUUGUGGUUAAUAACCGCAGCAAUUGAC
Molecule: ribosomal RNA, 472 nt
Filed under: Salmonella enterica
Lineage: Bacteria; Pseudomonadati; Pseudomonadota; Gammaproteobacteria; Enterobacterales; Enterobacteriaceae
Description: bacterial SSU rRNA
Rfam family: Bacterial small subunit ribosomal RNA
Source: RNAcentral